RNAcentral lists this ribosomal RNA (232 nucleotides) under uncultured bacterium. RNAcentral's name for it is "partial 16S ribosomal RNA". It matches the Rfam family "Bacterial small subunit ribosomal RNA", at positions 15 to 244 of the family's 1533-position model. The record is from RNAcentral.
GAUCCUGGCUCAGGACGAACGCUGGCGGCGUGCCUAAUACAUGCAAGUAGAACGCUGAAGGAGGAGCUUGCUUCUCCGGAUGAGCUGCGAACGGGUGAGUAACGCGUGGGUAACCUGCCUCAUACAGGGGGAUAACAGUUGGAAACGACUGCUAAUACCGCAUAAGCGCACAGGAUCGCAUGAUCCGGUGUGAAAAACUCCGGUGGUAUGGGAUGGACCCGCGUCUGAUUAG